Molecule: long non-coding RNA, 595 nt
Organism: Chrysoperla carnea
Lineage: Eukaryota; Metazoa; Arthropoda; Insecta; Neuroptera; Chrysopidae
Exons: 3
Source: RefSeq, a predicted model, not a curated record
CGAGUUUUGGGGUCCGUCACGUGUGAGGGUGUUAAAUGUGGAAAUUUGUAUGGGACACCCAAUCUCCCAGAGGUCCUUUGAGGCUGGUUGACUAGCAAGCUUUGUUGUUGACAAACCUGGGUUCAUGCAGGCUGAACGAGUUAGACACGAGUCCAAACGACGUCGAUUAAAUGUUCAGACUUGGGUACGGUACUAUCCGUUUAAUUCACAUAUGGUUCAAUUUAUCUGAGUCUGACUUUACUUAUUGACAGUUGUUAGUUAAAUUUUAGAAACUUAAAUGUCAAAUACAUAUGUGUACGAUGAACAUGGAAUUUAUCGUUUGUAUAAUUCGACGUCGAUUUGGAUGAAUGUCCAAUCUGUUCCUGUGUUGGCGAAACUUUUAGGUUAUGUUUACCUGUAAAAUGUUGAGUGUUCAAUUUGUUGAAGUUAACACUUGCCGAAACCCUUCAUAUAAUUGGAGUUUUAAUUUAAUAUCCUCCAAUUCCUGGAUGACAAACUCCUAAUUGAAACCCACGUGUUGGACGUAUCUUCCACAGGUUUUUAUCCAGAAGUACAAAAUCGAAAUACAAUUGAUUGAAAACAAUUUAAAAUGCUA